Molecule: ribosomal RNA, 429 nt
Filed under: Bacteroidota bacterium
Lineage: Bacteria; Pseudomonadati; Bacteroidota
Description: Bacteroidetes bacterium partial 16S ribosomal RNA
Rfam family: Bacterial small subunit ribosomal RNA
Source: RNAcentral
UAGGGAAUCUUCGGCAAUGGGGGGAACCCUGAUCGAGCAACGCCGCGUGAGUGAAGAAGGUUUUCGGAUCGUAAAGCUCUGUUGUUAAGGAAGAACGAGUGUGAGAAUGGAAAGUUCAUACUGUGACGGUACUUAACCAGAAAGGGACGGCUAACUACGUGCCAGCAGCCGCGGUAAUACGUAGGUCCCGAGCGUUGUCCGGAUUUAUUGGGCGUAAAGCGAGCGCAGGCGGUUAGAUAAGUCUGAAGUUAAAGGCAGUGGCUCAACCAUUGUAGGCUUUGGAAACUGUUUAACUUGAGUGCAGAAGGGGAGAGUGGAAUUCCAUGUGUAGCGGUGAAAUGCGUAGAUAUAUGGAGGAACACCGGUGGAGAAAGCGGCUCUCUGGUCUGUAACUGACGCUGGGGCUCGAAAGCGUGGGGAGCGAACAGG